This 466-nucleotide ribosomal RNA is filed under the name uncultured bacterium. RNAcentral's name for it is "bacterial SSU rRNA". It matches the Rfam family "Bacterial small subunit ribosomal RNA", at positions 328 to 792 of the family's 1533-position model. The record is from RNAcentral.
GUCCCAGACUCCUACGGGAGGCAGCAGUGAGGAAUAUUGGUCAAUGGGAGAGAUCCUGAACCAGCCAAGCCGCGUGAGGGAAGACGGCCCUAUGGGUUGUAAACCUCUUUUGUCGGAGAACAAAACCCGGGACGAGUCCCGGACUGCGUGUAUCCGAAGAAAAAGCAUCGGCUAACUCCGUGCCAGCAGCCGCGGUAAUACGGAGGAUGCGAGCGUUAUCCGGAUUUAUUGGGUUUAAAGGGUGCGUAGGCGGUCCGUUAAGUCAGCGGUAAAAAUGCGGUGCUCAACGCCGUCGAGCCGUUGAAACUGGCGUUCUUGAGUGGGCGAGAAGUAUGCGGAAUGCGUGGUGUAGCGGUGAAAUGCAUAGAUAUCACGCAGAACUCCGAUUGCGAAGGCAGCAUACCGGCGCCCUACUGACGCUGAGGCACGAAAGCGUGGGUAUCGAACAGGAUUAGAUACCCUAGUA